GUGGGGAAUAUUGGACAAUGGGCGAAAGCCUGAUCCAGCCAUGCCGCGUGUGUGAAGAAGGCCUUCGGGUUGUAAAGCACUUUAAGCGAGGAGGAAGGUUCGUCACCUAAUACGUGACGGAAUUGACGUUACUCGCAGAAUAAGCACCGGCUAACUCUGUGCCAGCAGCCGCGGUAAUACAGAGGGUGCAAGCGUUAAUCGGAAUUACUGGGCGUAAAGCGCGCGUAGGCGGUUGUGUAAGUUGGAGGUGAAAUCCCCGGGCUCAACCUGGGAACUGCCUCCAAAACUGCAUGACUAGAGUACGGUAGAGGGUAGUGGAAUUUCCUGUGUAGCGGUGAAAUGCGUAGAUAUAGGAAGGAACACCAGUGGCGAAGGCGACUACCUGGACUGAUACUGACACUGAGGUGCGAAAGCGUGGGGAGCAAACAGGAUUAGAUACCCCGGUAGUCC
RNAcentral lists this ribosomal RNA (450 nucleotides) under uncultured bacterium. RNAcentral describes it as "partial 16S ribosomal RNA". It matches the Rfam family "Bacterial small subunit ribosomal RNA", at positions 354 to 796 of the family's 1533-position model. The record is from RNAcentral.